This 502-nucleotide ribosomal RNA is filed under the name uncultured bacterium. RNAcentral describes it as "partial 16S ribosomal RNA". It matches the Rfam family "Bacterial small subunit ribosomal RNA", at positions 29 to 523 of the family's 1533-position model. The record is from RNAcentral.
AACGAACGCUGGCGGUAUGCUUAACACAUGCAAGUCGAACGGGUCUAUUUGGGGUAACUCGAAUAGAUUAGUGGCAAACGGGUGAGUAAUACAUAGGAAUCUGCCCAGCAGUAAGGAAUAACCUUGGGAAACCAAGGCUAAUACCAUAUCUUACCGUCUACUUAACUGUAGUCGGGAAAGAUUUAUCGCUGUUGGAUGAGCCUAUGACGAAUUAGCUUGUUGGUAGGGUAAAGGCCUACCAAGGGGAUGAUUCGUAGCUGGUCUGAGAGGAUGAUCCGCCACACUGGGACUGAGAAACGGCCCAGACUCCUACGGGAGGCAGCAGUGGGGAAUAUUGGACAAUGGGGGGAACCCUGAUCCAGCCAUGCCGCGUGUGUGAAGAAGGCCUUAUGGUUGUAAAGCACUUUAGGCGAGGAGGAGGCUACUUUAGUUAAUACCUAGAGAUAGUGGACGUUACUCGCAGAAUAAGCACCGGCUAACUCUGUGCCAGCCGCCGCAGUAA